Molecule: ribosomal RNA, 501 nt
Filed under: uncultured bacterium
Lineage: Bacteria
Description: partial 16S ribosomal RNA
Rfam family: Bacterial small subunit ribosomal RNA
Source: RNAcentral
GUUGAACGCUGGCGGCGUGCCUAACACAUGCAAGUCGAGCGGUAACAGGUGUAGCAAUACAUGCUGACGAGCGGCGAACGGGUGAGUAAUGCUUCGGAAUCUACCUUAUGGUGGGGAAUAACUAGCCGAAAGGUUAGCUAAUACCGAAUACGUCCUACGGGAGAAAGCAGGGGAUCGCAAGACCUUGCGCCAAAAGAUGAGCCGAAGUCGGAUUAGCUAGUUGGUAGGGUAACGGCCUACCAAGGCGACGAUCCGUAGCUGGUCUGAGAGGACGACCAGCCACACUGGGACUGAGACACGGCACAGACUCCUACGGGAGGCAGCAGUGGGGAAGAUUGGACAAUGGGGGAAACCCUGAUCCAGCGACGCCGCGUGAGUGACGAAGGUUUUCGGAUCGUAAAACUCUGUUGUGAGGGAAGAACAAGUACCAACUAACUACUGGUACCUUGACGGUACCUCACCAGAAAGCCACGGCUAACUACGUGCCAGCCGCCGCGGUAA